This 253-nucleotide ribosomal RNA is filed under the name uncultured bacterium. RNAcentral describes it as "partial 16S ribosomal RNA". It matches the Rfam family "Bacterial small subunit ribosomal RNA", at positions 524 to 776 of the family's 1533-position model. The record is from RNAcentral.
GACGUAGGGCGCAAGCGUUGUCCGGAUUUAUUGGGCGUAAAGAGCUCGUAGGCGGCUUGUUGCGUCGUCCGUGAAAACCUGUGGCUCAACUACAGGCUUGCGGUCGAUACGGGCGGGCUGGAGUUCGGUAGGGGAGACUGGAAUUCCUGGUGUAGCGGUGAAAUGCGCAGAUAUCAGGAGGAACACCGGUGGCGAAGGCGGCCAUCUGGACCGUAUCUGACGCUGAGGCGCGAAAGCGUGGGGAGCAAACAGG